Molecule: ribosomal RNA, 599 nt
Filed under: Marisediminitalea alba
Lineage: Bacteria; Pseudomonadati; Pseudomonadota; Gammaproteobacteria; Alteromonadales; Alteromonadaceae
Description: bacterial SSU rRNA
Rfam family: Bacterial small subunit ribosomal RNA
Source: RNAcentral
CUUGCUAGUAAGAUGACGAGUGGCGGACGGGUGAGUAAUGCUUGGGAACUUGCCUUCAGGAGGGGGAUAACAGUUGGAAACGACUGCUAAUACCGCAUAAUGUCUACGGACCAAAGCGGGCUUCGGCUCCCACCUGAAGAGAGGCCCAAGUGAGAUUAGCUAGUUGGUAAGGUAAAGGCUUACCAAGGCGACGAUCUCUAGCUGUUCUGAGAGGAAGAUCAGCCACACUGGGACUGAAACACGGCCCAGACUCCUACGGGAGGCAGCAGUGGGGAAUAUUGCACAAUGGGGGAAACCCUGAUGCAGCCAUGCCGCGUGUGUGAAGAAGGCCUUCGGGUUGUAAAGCACUUUCAGUUGUGAGGAAAAGUUGGUAGUUAAUACCUGCCAGCUGUGACGUUAACAACAGAAGAAGCACCGGCUAACUCCGUGCCAGCAGCCGCGGUAAUACGGAGGGUGCGAGCGUUAAUCGGAAUUACUGGGCGUAAAGCGCACGCAGGCGGUUUGUUAAGCUAGAUGUGAAAGCCCCGGGCUCAACCUGGGAUGGUCAUUUAGAACUGGCAGACUAGAGUCUUGGAGAGGGGAGUGGAAUUCCAGGUGUA